CAACACAGGAUAAAAUGAGAAAAACUACAAAAGAAAUGGAUGACUAAAAAUCUCCAAAAGUAAAAGGGAGUAAUUGAAAGAAGAAAAUGCGAAAGUAGACAGAACUACAUAAAGACAGAAUCUAGACAUUUUGCACAAAGUUUUAGAAAAUAAGGGAAGUAAUUAAGCCCCACAUAUUUAAAAUGAGAAAGACGGCAAAGAGACAAAUUUUCAAAUGUUGAGGGG
Molecule: long non-coding RNA, 225 nt
Filed under: Setaria italica (foxtail millet)
Lineage: Eukaryota; Viridiplantae; Streptophyta; Magnoliopsida; Poales; Poaceae
Description: long non-coding RNA (SITA_LNC007343)
Source: RNAcentral